Molecule: non-coding RNA, 65 nt
Organism: Podarcis lilfordi (Lilford's wall lizard)
Lineage: Eukaryota; Metazoa; Chordata; Lepidosauria; Squamata; Lacertidae
Source: the annotation of a GenBank genome assembly
GCAGGAUAGCUCAGUUGGUAGAGCAUGAGACUCAUGGGUCAUGGGUUGGAGCCCCAUGUUGGGCA